AACGAACGCUGGCGGCGUGGAUUAGGCAUGCAAGUCGAACGAUAUCCAGGGGUAUAGCAAUAUAAUCCUGGUGACAGUGGCGAAAGGGUGAGUAACGCGCGGGUAAUCUGCCCUUAAGUUGGGGAUAACAUUCCGAAAGGAGUGCUAAUACCGAAUGUGGUCGUCCUUCGCAUGAAGGAUUAUCCAAAGACGGGGAUCCGUAAGUACCUGUCGCUUGAGGAUGAGCCCACGGACUAUCAGCUUGUUGGCGAGGUGACGGCUCACCAAGGCUAUGACGGUUAGCUGGUCUGAGAGGAUGGUCAGCCACACUGGGACUGAGACACUGCCCAGACUCCUACGGGAGGCUG
This 347-nucleotide ribosomal RNA is filed under the name uncultured Lentisphaerota bacterium. Its description in RNAcentral is "bacterial SSU rRNA". It matches the Rfam family "Bacterial small subunit ribosomal RNA", at positions 29 to 351 of the family's 1533-position model. Lineage: Bacteria; Pseudomonadati; Lentisphaerota. The record is from RNAcentral.